RNAcentral lists this ribosomal RNA (426 nucleotides) under uncultured bacterium. RNAcentral's name for it is "partial 16S ribosomal RNA". It matches the Rfam family "Bacterial small subunit ribosomal RNA", at positions 354 to 796 of the family's 1533-position model. The record is from RNAcentral.
GUGAGGAAUUUUCCGCAAUGGGCGAAAGCCUGACGGAGCAAUGCCGCGUGAAGGAUGAAGGCCUAUGGGUUGUAAACUUCUUUUCUCAGAAAAGAAUUAUGACGGUAUCUGAGGAAUAAGCAUCGGCUAACUCUGUGCCAGCAGCCGCGGUAAGACAGAGGAUGCAAGCGUUAUCCGGAAUGAUUGGGCGUAAAGCGUCUGUAGGUUGUUUAAAAAGUAUUCUGUCAAAGAUUAGGGCUUAACCCUAGAUAGGCAGAAUAAACUUUUAAGCUAGAGGUUGGUAGAAGCAGAGGGAAUUCCCGGUGGAGCGGUGAAAUGCGUAGAUAUCGGGAGGAACACCAAAGGCGAAGGCACUCUGCUGGGCCAAUACUAACACUGAGAGACGAAAGCGAGGGGAGCAAAUGGGAUUAGAUACCCGAGUAGUCC